GACGAACGCUGGCGGCGUGCCUAAUACAUGCAAGUAGAACGCUGAAGAGAGGAGCUUGCUCUUCUUGGAUGAGUUGCGAACGGGUGAGUAACGCGUAGGUAACCUGCCUUGUAGCGGGGGAUAACUAUUGGAAACGAUAGCUAAUACCGCAUAACAAUGUAUGACACAUGUCAUUUAUUUGAAAGGGGCAAUUGCUCCACUACAAGAUGGACCUGCGUUGUAUUAGCUAGUAGGUGAGGUAACGGCUCACCUAGGCGACGAUACAUAGCCGACCUGAGAGGGUGAUCGGCCACACUGGGACUGAGACACGGCCCAGACUCCUACGGGAGGCAGCAGUAGGGAAUCUUCGGCAAUGGGGGCAACCCUGACCGAGCAACGCCGCGUGAGUGAAGAAGGUUUUCGGGUCGUAAAGCUCUGUUGUAAGUCAAGAACGAGUGUGAGAGUGGAAAGUUCACACUGUGACGGUAGCUGACCAGAAAGGGACGGCUAACUACGUG
RNAcentral lists this ribosomal RNA (497 nucleotides) under uncultured bacterium. RNAcentral's name for it is "partial 16S ribosomal RNA". It matches the Rfam family "Bacterial small subunit ribosomal RNA", at positions 28 to 507 of the family's 1533-position model. The record is from RNAcentral.